RNAcentral lists this non-coding RNA (819 nucleotides) under Megacopta lobata. The record is from RNAcentral. Lineage: Eukaryota; Metazoa; Arthropoda; Insecta; Hemiptera; Plataspidae.
AUAAUUUGAUUCUGGUUAGUUCUGUUAAUUUUUAGAUAAUUUAUACAUGUAAGUUUUGGCGUGAUUUAUUGUUUGAACUUGACCUAGAUGGUUAGUUCUUUCUUUUUGUUUAUUAAUUCGCAGUUUUUAUUUUUAAAGUUUUCUAGUUUUUUGGGACUUAUUUAUUUUAAUUUUAUAAACUAGUUAAAAUUGUGCCAGCAACUGCGGUUACACAAUUAGUUAAAGUUAAUUUUUUUGAGUUAUAUAGUAUUAAAGUGUUUAUUAUUAAAUUAUAAUAAUUGGUUAUUAAUUUUAGGUGAAAUUUAAUUAUGAGUCAUUUGUUAUUAGGUAAAUUAAAUUAUAUGAUACUCUUGGUUUAGACUAGGAUUAGAUACCCUAUUAUUGAGAGUGUAAAUUUUUUACUUAUAUUAUUGUUAGUUAUGUUCUUUAAAGUAAAAGGAUUUGACGGUAAUUAUAUCAUUUCAGAGGAACCUGUCCUGUAAUUGAUAAUCCACGUUAAAUUUUACCUUAAUUUUUGGUUUGUAUAUCUCUGUCUAUUGAAUGUUUUAUGAGGAUUAAUUUUCUAUACUGUUUUAUUUAAUUUUAUGUCAGGUCAAGGUGCAGCUAUAUUAAGGGUAGAGAUGGGUUACAUUAAUCUUUAAAAUUUAUGGAUUAAUAUUUUUAUUUAUAUUAUGAAAUAGGAUUUGAUUGUAAUGUUUAUUAUAUUUUAAUUAUGAUAUUAGCUCUUUAUUAAGUACACAUCGCCCGUCGCUCUCAUUAUUUAAGAUGAGAUAAGUCGUAACAAAGUAGGCCUAUCGGAAGGUGGGCCUGGAUUUAUUU